UUAGUAAUUUCAAUUCUAGUACAAUAUGCAUGGAUAGUUAUUGUUACUUUCACUUUUAUGCCGGUGUGCGUAAAAUUAAAAAGUUGUAACACGGACAUAAGACACAAUUGAAUUCUGGGCGAAUGACAGUUGACAACAGCGGACAUGGUGUUUCAUAUUUUCGUUAGUUACAGGCACAACGAAGAAAAUAUCAAUUAAAAACGCAAAUUAACAAGGACAAAACGUACGUAACUCUAAAUUAAGUGACAAAAUUAAAAAUUGUUCUGGUGCCACCAUCGAUACCUGAUAUGCAACAAAGGAAUACGAAACAGAAGUCAAUAAGGGGAAAAACCCAGCAAGGUAUGACUCUUCUUCAAGCUAUGACAUUCCUGUAACCUGCAUACAAUUGAAGAGCAUCGAUAAUAAAAUUAACAAAGGUGGUUGCCGUCGAAACCUUCGCAGAACAUCACCAUUGGAACCAAAUCGGCCUAUUAUUGUUUGAAGAAGAACAUUCACGAAAUAAUUGACUACAUUGUAUGCAUUUGAAAUUAUGGAAAUUUCUAAUAUAA
Long non-coding RNA from Agrilus planipennis (emerald ash borer), 548 nucleotides. RefSeq lists it as uncharacterized. The record is from RefSeq and is a predicted model, not a curated record. Lineage: Eukaryota; Metazoa; Arthropoda; Insecta; Coleoptera; Buprestidae. The transcript has 3 exons.